GACGUACGCUGGCGGCGUGCCUAAUACAUGCAAGUUGAGCGAUGAAGAUUGGUGCUUGCACCAAUUUGAAGAGCAGCGAACGGGUGAGUAACGCGUGGGGAAUCUGCCUUUGAGCGGGGGACAACAUUUGGAAACGAAUGCUAAUACCGCAUAAUAACUUUAAACAUAAGUUUUAAGUUUGAAAGAUGCAAUUGCAUCACUCAAAGAUGAUCCCGCGUUGUAUUAGCUAGUUGGUGAGGUAAAGGCUUACCAAGGCGAUGAUACAUAGCCGACCUGAGAGGGGGAUCGGCCCAAUUGGGAAUGAGACACGGCUCAAACUCCUACGGGAGGCAGCAGUAGGGAAUCUUCGGCAAUGGACGAAAGUCUGACCGAGCAACGCCGCGUGAGUGAAGAAGGUUUUCGGAUCGUAAAACUCUGUUGGUAGAGAAGAACGUUGGUGAGAGUGGAAAGCUCAUCAAGUGACGGUAACUACCCAGAAAGGGACGGCUAACUACGUG
RNAcentral lists this ribosomal RNA (497 nucleotides) under uncultured bacterium. Its description in RNAcentral is "partial 16S ribosomal RNA". It matches the Rfam family "Bacterial small subunit ribosomal RNA", at positions 28 to 507 of the family's 1533-position model. The record is from RNAcentral.